AGUGAACGCUGGCGGUAGGCCUAACGCAUGCAAGUCGAACGGCAGCACAGUAAGAGCUUGCUCUUACGGGUGGCGAGUGGCGGACGGGUGAGGAAUACAUCGGAAUCUACUUUUUCGUGGGGGAUAACGUAGGGAAACUUACGCUAAUACCGCAUACGACCUACGGGUGAAAGCAGGGGAUCUUCGGACCUUGCGCGAUUGAAUGAGCCGAUGUCGGAUUAGCUAGUUGGCGGGGUAAAGGCCCACCAAGGCGACGAUCCGUAGCUGGUCUGAGAGGAUGAUCAGCCACACUGGAACUGAGACACGGUCCAGACUCCUACGGGAGGCAGCAGUGGGGAAUAUUGGACAAUGGGCGCAAGCCUGAUCCGGCCAUACCGCGUGGGUGAAGAAGGCCUUCGGGUUGUAAAGCCCUUUUGUUGGGAAAGAAAAGCAGCAGGUUAAUACCCCGCUGUUCUGACGGUACCCAAAGAAUAAGCACCGGCUAACUUCGUG
RNAcentral lists this ribosomal RNA (492 nucleotides) under uncultured bacterium. RNAcentral's name for it is "partial 16S ribosomal RNA". It matches the Rfam family "Bacterial small subunit ribosomal RNA", at positions 29 to 507 of the family's 1533-position model. The record is from RNAcentral.